GAUGAACGCUAGCUACAGGCUUAACACAUGCAAGUCGAGGGGAAACGACAGUAAAGCUUGCUUUUGGUGGGCGUCGACCGGCGCGACGGGUGAGUAACGCGUAUCCAACCUGCCCACCACUUGGGGAUAACCUUGCGAAAGUAAGACUAAUACCCAAUGAUAUCCCACGAAGGCAUCCGAAUGGGAUUAAAGAUUUAUCGGUGAUGGAUGGGGAUGCGUCUGAUUAGCUUGUUGGCGGGGUAACGGCCCGCCAAGGCUACGAUCAGUAGGGGUUCUGAGAGGAAGGUCCCCCACAUUGGAACUGAGACAUGGUCCAAACUCCUACGGGAGGCAGCAGUGAGGAAUAUUGGUCAAUGGGCGAGAGCCUGAACCAGCCAAGUAGCGUGCAGGAAGACGGCCCUAUGGGUUGUAAACUGCUUUUAUAGGGGAAUAAAGUGAGCCACGUGUGGUUUUUUGCAUGUACCCUAUGAAUAAGGACCGGCUAAUUCCGUG
This 492-nucleotide ribosomal RNA is filed under the name uncultured bacterium. Its description in RNAcentral is "bacterial SSU rRNA". It matches the Rfam family "Bacterial small subunit ribosomal RNA", at positions 28 to 507 of the family's 1533-position model. The record is from RNAcentral.